This 429-nucleotide ribosomal RNA is filed under the name Gemmatimonadota bacterium. Its description in RNAcentral is "Gemmatimonadetes bacterium partial 16S ribosomal RNA". It matches the Rfam family "Bacterial small subunit ribosomal RNA", at positions 355 to 776 of the family's 1533-position model. Lineage: Bacteria; Pseudomonadati; Gemmatimonadota. The record is from RNAcentral.
UAGGGAAUCUUCGGCAAUGGACGAAAGUCUGACCGAGCAACGCCGCGUGAGUGAAGAAGGUUUUCGGAUCGUAAAACUCUGUUGUUAGAGAAGAACAAGGACGUUAGUAACUGAACGUCCCCUGACGGUAUCUAACCAGAAAGCCACGGCUAACUACGUGCCAGCAGCCGCGGUAAUACGUAGGUGGCAAGCGUUGUCCGGAUUUAUUGGGCGUAAAGCGAGCGCAGGCGGUUUCUUAAGUCUGAUGUGAAAGCCCCCGGCUCAACCGGGGAGGGUCAUUGGAAACGGGGGGACUUGAGUGCAGAAGAGGGGAGUGGAAUUCCAUGUGUGGCGGUGAAAUGCGUAGAUAUAUGGUGGAACGCCAGUGGCGAAGGCGGCUCUCUGGUCUGUAACAGACGAUGAGGCUCGAAAGCGUGGGGAGCAAACAGG